AGUGAACGCUGGCGGUAGGCCUAACACAUGCAAGUCGAACGGCAGCACAGUAAGAGCUUGCUCUUACGGGUGGCGAGUGGCGGACGGGUGAGGAAUACAUCGGAAUCUACUUUUUCGUGGGGGAUAACGUAGGGAAACUUACGCUAAUACCGCAUACGACCUACGGGUGAAAGCAGGGGAUCUUCGGACCUUGCGCGAUUGAAUGAGCCGAUGUCGGAUUAGCUAGUUGGCGGGGUAAAGGCCCACCAAGGCGACGAUCCGUAGCUGGUCUGAGAGGAUGGUCGGCCACACUGGAACUGAGACACGGUCCAGACUCCUACGGGAGGCAGCAGUGGGGAAUAUUGGACAAUGGGCGCAAGCCUGAUCCAGCCAGACCGCGUGGGUGAAGAAGGCCUUCGGGUUGUAAAGCCCUUUUGUUGGGAAAGAAAAGCAGCAGGUUAAUACCCCGCUGUUCUGACGGUACCCAAAGAAUAAGCACCGGCUAACUUCGUG
RNAcentral lists this ribosomal RNA (492 nucleotides) under uncultured bacterium. RNAcentral's name for it is "partial 16S ribosomal RNA". It matches the Rfam family "Bacterial small subunit ribosomal RNA", at positions 29 to 507 of the family's 1533-position model. The record is from RNAcentral.